UGGGGAAUAUUGCACAAUGGACGGAAGUUUGAUGCAGCGACGCCGCGGGGAGGGUGUAGGCCUUCGGGUUGUGAACUCCUUUUUCUCGCGAAAAAGGCACAGUUUUGGCUGUGUUGAUGGUAGUGGGGGAAGAAGCGCCGGCUAACUACGUGCCAGCAGCCGCGGGAAUACGUAGGGCGCGAGCGUUGUCCGGAUUUAUUGGGCGUAAAGAGCUCGUAGGUGGUUCGUCGCGUCUGUCGUGAAAGCCAGCAGCUUAACUGUUGGUCUGCGGUGGGUACGGGCGGGCUUGAGUGCGGUCGGGGUGACUGGCAUUCCUGGUGUAGCGGUGGCAUGCGCAGCUCUCAGGAGGAACCCCGAUGGCGACGGCAGGUCACUGGGCCGUUCCUGCCACUGAGGAGCGCACGCGUGGGGAUCGACCAGG
RNAcentral lists this ribosomal RNA (421 nucleotides) under Fusobacteriota bacterium. RNAcentral describes it as "Fusobacteria bacterium partial 16S ribosomal RNA". It matches the Rfam family "Bacterial small subunit ribosomal RNA", at positions 355 to 776 of the family's 1533-position model. Lineage: Bacteria; Fusobacteriati; Fusobacteriota. The record is from RNAcentral.